GAAGUAUGAAUGGGAUUGAAGGAUUUACAUGGAGGACUCUAAACUUCCCUUCCUGAGUCAGGAAGGAUAGGUAUGGCAGUGGUAUGACCUCGACAGCUGGCCUGUAAGCUCAUCAGUGGUCAGCAUUUCAAACACAGCCUCUUUAAAUCCAUUGACUGUUAGAAAUUGAAGCAUCCAAGUCAACCAAAGGAUAACAAAUAAAGGGGCCUGCUUUGAGACCUACUGAAGCUGUCUAUAAUGAUGUGACAAAUGUAAGUAUUUUGAUGAAACUUAACCUUACAAAUCUCUGUUUGGACGCUUGGAUUUAGCAGAUGCUUUAAUAUUUCUGUGUCGUGCCCCCCCCUUCUGCAAAGUGC
This 356-nucleotide long non-coding RNA is filed under the name Cairina moschata (Muscovy duck). RNAcentral's name for it is "domestica (muscovy Duck (domestic type)) lncRNA (ENSCMMG00000003556.1)". The record is from RNAcentral. Lineage: Eukaryota; Metazoa; Chordata; Aves; Anseriformes; Anatidae.